RNAcentral lists this ribosomal RNA (842 nucleotides) under Lecidea aptrootii. RNAcentral's name for it is "LSU rRNA". It matches the Rfam family "Eukaryotic large subunit ribosomal RNA", at positions 192 to 1051 of the family's 3401-position model. The record is from RNAcentral. Lineage: Eukaryota; Fungi; Ascomycota; Lecanoromycetes; Lecideales; Lecideaceae.
GGAGAGGGGCGUCAUAGAGGGUGAGAAUCCCGUAUGCGACCGGCGACCACCCCCAUGUGAAACCCCUUCGACGAGCCGAGUUGUUUGGGAAUGCAGCUCAAAAGGGGUGGUAAAUUUCAUCUAAAGCUAAAUACCGGCCAGAGACCGAUAGCGCACAAGUAGAGUGAUCGAAAGAUGAAAAGCACUUUGGAAAGAGAGUCAAACAGUACGUGAAAUUGUUGAAAGGGAAGCGCUUGCAACCAGACCUGCCCUUGGGCGAUCAGCCGUUAUUCUUAGCGGUGCACUCGUCCCUGUUCAGGCCAGCAUCGGUUCGGGCGGCCGGAUAAAGGCCCCGGGAAUGUAGCUCCCCUCGGGGAGUCUUAUAGCCCGGGGUGCAAUGCGGCCAGCCCGGACCGAGGACCGCGCUUCGGCUAGGAUGCUGGCGUAAUGGUUGUAAGCGACCCGUCUUGAAACACGGACCAAGGAGUCUAACAUCUAUGCGAGUGUUUGGGCGUCAAACCCACGCGCGGAAUGAAAGUGAACGGAGGUGGGAGCCCGCAAGGGCGCACCAUCGACCGAUCCAGAUGUCUUCGGAUGGAUUUGAGUACGAGCAUAGCUGUUGGGACCCGAAAGAUGGUGAACUAUGCCUGAAUAGGGUGAAGCCAGAGGAAACUCUGGUGGAGGCUCGCAGCGGUUCUGACGUGCAAAUCGAUCGUCAAAUUUGGGUAUAGGGGCGAAAGACUAAUCGAACCAUCUAGUAGCUGGUUCCUGCCGAAGUUUCCCUCAGGAUAGCAGUAACGUUUGUCAGUUUUAUGAGGUAGAAGCGAAUGAUUAGAGGCCGUUGGGGUUGAAACAACCUUAAC